CAGAUCCUGGCUCUGUCCUGUCCCCCCUGUGUGACCUCAGCACAUUCCUGCACCUCUCUUAACAAACCCUGCCAACAGCUGAGUUGCUUAGCACCUGCUAUGUCGUGCAGCUUGGAGACCCUGCGCACCCUUUACCAGGACCCUGUCUCCCAAAGCUCGGGCUGGAUCUGCUGAAGCCGGGGCCAGAGGCCUGUGCUGCCCCCAACCUGGGAACCUCCAGACCACACUGAUGCGACCGCUGCCUCCCAGUUCCCAGGAACAGAUACUGAGCUCUGAGCAAUGGGCACAAUUUCAGACCCAGCGUCCUGGCGGUGCCAUAAAACUGCAGCAGCGAAGCUCACUGGAGUCAUUUUCUCCUGUGCUGCUGACACGGAGAGGAAAAAUCCCCAAAUAAAGCUCUUCCCACAGCCACAGCCACGAAAACAUUGUCCCCUGCAACUGUGCUCGCUACUCAAACAUGAUUUCUCCUCCUCAGGGGGAAAAACCUCCCAGCAAUUCUCAUUGCAAGAUGGUAAACCUGUCGCCCUAAUGAACAGCUUUCAUUUAGAACCCAGCGAGAAGGGGCGCACCGGGAGACGGCAGCUUUGUUGACUGCGAUGUUUCCAAAUCACUUGCUCAACCUGCAGCGUUCCCAUGGAGCUUGGAGCGCCCAGCAUAGGGCUUUAUUGUUGUUUUGAGGCAAGAAAGAAGUUUUCAGAAGCCAUACUUUGUGCUGAUUCAUGUUUCACCCUUGUGCCUACAAAGUCUCCCUCAAAUGGGUAUCCUGGUCCUCUUGCAUGCCUCUGAUGAUGGGAUGCUCACUACUUCCCAGUGCAGCCCCC
Molecule: long non-coding RNA, 821 nt
Filed under: Homo sapiens (human)
Lineage: Eukaryota; Metazoa; Chordata; Mammalia; Primates; Hominidae
Description: HSALNT0068304
Source: RNAcentral